UUUACCCUCUUGUUGUUGCUGCACAUCCCCAAGAGGCCAACCAAUUAGCUUUAGGGUUGACAGAUGGGUCUGUUAAAGUGUUGGAACCCACAGAAUCAGAGAGGAAAUGGGGAUCAACUCCUCCAGUGGAUAAUGGGAUGCUAAAUGGCAGGACUACAUCAUCAUCCACAACAAGCAACCACACGCCGGAUCAGUUGCAGAGAUGAAAUUCCUUGUAUUCUACUUAGGUUGCAUCUGUAAUUUACCAAUACAGAAUUUAGGUUCCUAGUCCCCGUAUGUUCCUUAUCAAAGGUAACUUAGGACAUUAAUGAUUAAAGUUGCUCAUUCUUGUAUACUAAUGUGUAGUUAGCAGUAGCUAUUUGAUUUUAGCCGCGCCCCCAAACCCCACACCCAC
RNAcentral lists this unclassified non-coding RNA (394 nucleotides) under Hevea brasiliensis (rubber tree). The record is from RNAcentral. Lineage: Eukaryota; Viridiplantae; Streptophyta; Magnoliopsida; Malpighiales; Euphorbiaceae.